GAACGAACCCUUCGGGGUUAGUGGCGCACGGGUGCGUAACACGUGGGAAUCUGCCCUUUGCUUCGGAAUAACAGUUAGAAAUGACUGCUAAUACCGGAUAAUGUCGUAAGACCAAAGAUUUAUCGGCAAAGGAUGAGCCCGCGUAGGAUUAGCUUGUUGGUGGGGUAAUGGCCUACCAAGGCGACGAUCCUUAGCUGGUCUGAGAGGAUGAUCAGCCACACUGGGACUGAGACACGGCCCAGACUCCUACGGGAGGCAGCAGUGGGGAGUAUUGGACAAUGGGCGAAAGCCUGAUCCAGCAAUGCCGCGUGAGUGAUGAAGGCCUUCGGGUUGUAAAGCUCUUUUACCCAGGGAUGAUAAUGACAGUACCCUGGAGAAUAAGCUCCGGCUAACUCCGUGCCAGCAGCCGCGGUAAUACGGAGGGAGCUAGCGUUGUUCGGAAUUACUGGGCGUAAAGCGCACGUAGGCGGCGACUCAAGUCAGAGGUGAAAGCCCGGGGCUCAACCCCGGAACUGCCUUUGAAACUAGGUUGCUAGAAUCUUGGAGAGGUCAGUGGAAUUCCGAGUGUAGAGGUGAAAUUCGUAGAUAUUCGGAAGAACACCAGUGGCGAAGGCGACUGACUGGACAAGUAUUGACGCUGAGGUGCGAAAGCGUGGGGAGCAAACA
Molecule: ribosomal RNA, 666 nt
Filed under: uncultured Alphaproteobacteria bacterium
Lineage: Bacteria; Pseudomonadati; Pseudomonadota; Alphaproteobacteria
Description: bacterial SSU rRNA
Rfam family: Bacterial small subunit ribosomal RNA
Source: RNAcentral